GACGAACGCUGGCGGCGUGCUUAACACAUGCAAGUCGAACGGAAAGGCCCUGCUUUUGUGGGGUGCUCGAGUGGCGAACGGGUGAGUAACACGUGAGUAACCUGCCCUUGACUUUGGGAUAACUUCAGGAAACUGGGGCUAAUACCGGAUAGGAGCUCCUGCUGCAUGGUGGGGGUUGGAAAGUUUCGGCGGUUGGGGAUGGACUCGCGGCUUAUCAGCUUGUUGGUGGGGUAGUGGCUUACCAAGGCUUUGACGGGUAGCCGGCCUGAGAGGGUGACCGGCCACAUGGGGACUGAGAUACGGCCCAGACUCCUACGGGAGGCAGCAGUGGGGAAUAUUGCACAAUGGGCGGAAGCCUGAUGCAGCAACGCCGCGUGCGGGAUGACGGCCUUCGGGGUGUAAACCGCUUUCGCCUGUGACGAAGCGUGAGUGACGGUAAUGGGUAAAGAAGCACCGGCUAACUACG
This 466-nucleotide ribosomal RNA is filed under the name uncultured bacterium. RNAcentral's name for it is "partial 16S ribosomal RNA". It matches the Rfam family "Bacterial small subunit ribosomal RNA", at positions 28 to 505 of the family's 1533-position model. The record is from RNAcentral.